This 210-nucleotide long non-coding RNA is filed under the name Olea europaea (common olive). RNAcentral's name for it is "long non-coding RNA (OEUR_LNC013357)". Lineage: Eukaryota; Viridiplantae; Streptophyta; Magnoliopsida; Lamiales; Oleaceae. The record is from RNAcentral.
AGCAGUCAUGGCAUAAACAUGUUGAUCCAGGUGAAGGAGAUUGGGUUUACUUAUGCACAAAAGUGAAUACGAAUUCAAAGGGGGUCCAAACUACACCCGAGACAAGACGGACCAUUUCAUGUCAUUACAUUAAUUGGAGAUAAGGGUUAUAAUUUAGGUUCGAAUUCGAGGCCGAAUCCUUUCGAUGAGAGAGGGACUGAUGUGAUUGGG